GGAGGAAUAUUGGUCAAUGGGCGGAAGCCUGAACCAGCCAAGUAGCGUGAGGGAUGACUGCCCUAUGGGUUGUAAACCUCUUUUAUAAGGGAAUAAAAUACGGGACGUGUCCUGUUUUGCAUGUACCUUAUGAAUAAGGACCGGCUAACUCCGUGCCAGCAGCCGCGGUAAUACGGAGGAUGCGAGCGUUAUCCGGAUUUAUUGGGUUUAAAGGGUGCGUAGGCUGUGCGGUAAGUCAGAGGUGAAAGGUCCGCGCUCAACGCGGGAACUGCCUUUGAUACUGCCGUGCUGGAGUGCGGAUGCCGUUGGAGGAAUGAGUGGUGUAGCGGUGAAAUGCAUAGAUAUCACUCAGAACACCGAUUGCGAAGGCAUCUGACGAAUCCGUAACUGACGCUGAGGCACGAAAGCGUGGGGAUAG
RNAcentral lists this ribosomal RNA (418 nucleotides) under uncultured Prevotella sp. RNAcentral's name for it is "bacterial SSU rRNA". It matches the Rfam family "Bacterial small subunit ribosomal RNA", at positions 355 to 770 of the family's 1533-position model. The record is from RNAcentral. Lineage: Bacteria; Pseudomonadati; Bacteroidota; Bacteroidia; Bacteroidales; Prevotellaceae.